Molecule: non-coding RNA, 29 nt
Filed under: Bombyx mori (domestic silkworm)
Lineage: Eukaryota; Metazoa; Arthropoda; Insecta; Lepidoptera; Bombycidae
Source: RNAcentral
UACCUAAACGUUGAAAAAGCGCGUAGAGU